RNAcentral lists this unclassified non-coding RNA (628 nucleotides) under Melitaea cinxia (Glanville fritillary). RNAcentral describes it as "misc RNA ENSMCXG00005020118.1". Lineage: Eukaryota; Metazoa; Arthropoda; Insecta; Lepidoptera; Nymphalidae. The record is from RNAcentral.
GUGCGUGAUCUGGAGCGCAUGGAAAUUCUAGGAGACGCGGCCGAGGUGCUUCACAUAUCCUCUGUUGGGGUUCACUCAAAGCCUGCUUGAAAGACCUUCUCCACAGAAUGCAGAUCACGAGUAUCACACAACAGGUUUCCUGUAAAGACAACAAUGCUGCGAAAUUGGAGGAUAAUGAUACAACUACAAAAAUUAAAACUAAUGGUAUAUGGUACUUAAACUGCCGUAUGAAAACAAGUGUUGUUCAUAAUUGUGGCAAUUCUAGACUUACACAAACAAAGAUGUUUAAGUCAUCAUAGAAGGGGAGUGGUUACAACGUACGUGGCUGAGUGAGUGAAUAUGUAAAGAAUAAUAAUGUAGGUUAACAUUUCUCUCAAAUAUAGUAUCAGUAAUAAGACUAGUCGCGAGAGAACGAAAGUAACCGACUUGCCCGUAGAACCAGCAUGUUGAAGUGCAGUGGGCUGAUCACAUAUGUCGCAGGGCUGAUGGCUGCUGGAACAAUCGUGUCCUGCAGUGAAAACCGUUGGUAAAAGUAGUGUGGGAUGUCCUCCGACUGGCUAGACCGACUGUCUACUUAAUAUUGCCGAUGGAGGCUGUAUGAGGAUUGCAGACGACCGGAAUGUUUGGC